UGGGGUUGUGGCUCAGAGGUAGAGCGCUCGCCUAGUGAUCGUGAGGCACUGGGUUCGGUCCUCAGCACCACAA
Molecule: transfer RNA, 73 nt
Filed under: Marmota monax (woodchuck)
Lineage: Eukaryota; Metazoa; Chordata; Mammalia; Rodentia; Sciuridae
Description: tRNA.Thr
Source: RNAcentral